GUAAGGAGCAAAGAAAAAUUUCUCAGAAAAGGAGACUUGAAGCACAAUUGUCAUCAGUUCACAGAAGAACUUUGAAGUUCUGUUUCCAGAGGCCUCUCUCUGCCUGCCCAGAAACUGUACAUCUUUAGAGAUGAGCAAAACUCUGCACUCUGCAAAAUCAGCACCCUCUGUCUAAUCAAAAGUUAACUUGGCCCAGGUUUUAGUUUCUCUGUUAAGUUUUGUUGGAAAGUAAUAUAAUAAAUCUUAUUACAAGAUACAGCUGAUUAUGUAUACAUUAUGUCUUUGGAGAAAUUUGCAUUUUAAGAGGAAGGUCAAGGAUGCCUUAAUUACAAACAUUGCAUUUUUGGUUAUUUAAAUAGUAUCUGGGAAAAUGGUGAAGAUAUAUAGGAAGUUAAGAAAGAUACCUGUAUCUACCACGUGUGAAAGAUUAUCUCAGUAAAUAGAAUUGGCUACAUAUUCAUCUAUUAUAAUAAUACCAAAAAAGAAGAUAUAUAUCUUCAAAGCGUCACAAUUUUUGUAGUCAGCAAAAUGAAUGGCAAAGAUAAUGAGAGAAUAAAGACAUAAAAAUGAGUAUUUAAAAAUAGAAUUCUGAUGGGAAAACUGUUAAUUUUAAAAAUUAUAU
Molecule: long non-coding RNA, 622 nt
Filed under: Pan troglodytes (chimpanzee)
Lineage: Eukaryota; Metazoa; Chordata; Mammalia; Primates; Hominidae
Description: lincRNA
Source: RNAcentral